GGCUCAGGAUGAACGCUAGCUACAGGCUUAACACAUGCAAGUCGAGGGGCAGCAGGAUCUUAGCUUGCUAAGAUUGCUGGCGACCGGCGCACGGGUGAGUAACGCGUAUCCAACCUUCCCUAGUAGGGCAUAGCCCGAUGAAAAUCGGAUUAAUACCCUAUGUUCUUCGUAGAUGACAUCUGACAUGAAGCAAAGAUUUAUCGCUAAGGGAUGGGGAUGCGUCCGAUUAGGUAGUCGGCGGGGUAACGGCCCACCGAGCCAUCGAUCGGUAGGGGUUCUGAGAGGAAGGUCCCCCACAUUGGAACUGAGACACGGUCCAAACUCCUACGGGAGGCAGCAGUGAGGAAUAUUGGUCAAUGGGCGAGAGCCUGAACCAGCCAAGUAGCGUGCAGGAAUGACGGCCCUAUGGGUUGUAAACUGCUUUUGUGCGGGAAUAAAGUCAGGGACGCGUCCCUGUUUGCAUGUACCGCAAGAAUAAGGACCGGCUAAUUCCGUGCCAGCAGCUGC
Molecule: ribosomal RNA, 507 nt
Filed under: uncultured bacterium
Lineage: Bacteria
Description: bacterial SSU rRNA
Rfam family: Bacterial small subunit ribosomal RNA
Source: RNAcentral